This 841-nucleotide ribosomal RNA is filed under the name uncultured bacterium. Its description in RNAcentral is "bacterial SSU rRNA". It matches the Rfam family "Bacterial small subunit ribosomal RNA", at positions 26 to 898 of the family's 1533-position model. The record is from RNAcentral.
AGAAUCAACGCUGGCGGCGCGCCUAACACAUGCAAGUCGCACGAGAAAGCCGGAGCAAUCUGGUGAGUACAGUGGCGUACGGGUGAGUAACACGUGGGUUACCUACCCUCUGGUGGGGAAUAACCUUGGGAAACCGGGGCUAAUACCGCAUAAUUCCGAGAGGAAAAAGCCGAAAGGCGCCGGAGGAGGGGCCCGCGGCCGAUUAGCUAGUUGGUAGGGUAACGGCCUACCAAGGCGACGAUCGGUAGCCGGCCUGAGAGGGCACACGGCCACACUGGCACUGAAACACGGGCCAGACUCCUACGGGAGGCAGCAGUGGGGAAUCUUGCACAAUGGGGGAAACCCUGAUGCAGCGACGCCGCGUGAGCGAUGAAGCCCCUCGGGGUGUAAAGCUCUUUCGGCAGGAAAGAUAAUGACGGUACCUGCAGAAGAAGCUGCGGCUAACUACGUGCCAGCAGCCGCGGUAAUACGUAGGCAGCGAGCGUUGUUCGGAGUUACUGGGCGUAAAGAGUGUGUAGGCGGUUUGCCAAGUUCGGUGUGAAAUCUCCCGGCUUAACUGGGAGGGUGCGCCGAAUACUGGCAGGCUAGAGUGCGGGAGAGGAAAGCGGAAUUCCUGGUGUAGCGGUGAAAUGCGCAGAUAUCAGGAGGAACACCUGCGGUGUAGACGGCUUUCUGGACCGCCACUGACGCUGAGACACGAAAGCGUGGGUAGCAAACAGGAUUAGAUACCCUGGUAGUCCACGCCCUAAACGAUGCACACUUGGUGUGGGCAGUUCAUUCUGUCCGUGCCGUAGUUAACGCGUUAAGUGUGCCGCCUGGGGAGUACGGUCGCAAGGCUGAA